This 498-nucleotide ribosomal RNA is filed under the name fungal sp. ARIZ B136. RNAcentral describes it as "eukaryotic LSU rRNA". The stretch from base 183 to 336 matches the Rfam family "5.8S ribosomal RNA". Lineage: Eukaryota; Fungi. The record is from RNAcentral.
CCCAAUGUGAACGUUACCAAACUGUUGCCUCGGCGGGAUCUCUGCCCCGGGUGCGUCGCAGCCCCGGACCAAGGCGCCCGCCGGAGGACCAACCUAAAACUCUUAUUGUAUACCCCCUCGCGGGUUUUUUUAUAAUCUGAGCCUUCUCGGCGCCUCUCGUAGGCGUUUCGAAAAUGAAUCAAAACUUUCAACAACGGAUCUCUUGGUUCUGGCAUCGAUGAAGAACGCAGCGAAAUGCGAUAAGUAAUGUGAAUUGCAGAAUUCAGUGAAUCAUCGAAUCUUUGAACGCACAUUGCGCCCGCCAGUAUUCUGGCGGGCAUGCCUGUCCGAGCGUCAUUUCAACCCUCGAACCCCUCCGGGGGGUCGGCGUUGGGGAUCGGCCCUCCCUUAGCGGGUGGCCGUCUCCGAAAUACAGUGGCGGUCUCGCCGCAGCCUCUCCUGCGCAGUAGUUUGCACACUCGCAUCNNRACGGCGGCGCGUCCACAGCCGUUAAACACC